Molecule: ribosomal RNA, 467 nt
Filed under: uncultured bacterium
Lineage: Bacteria
Description: partial 16S ribosomal RNA
Rfam family: Bacterial small subunit ribosomal RNA
Source: RNAcentral
GACGAACGCUGGCGGCGUGCUUAACACAUGCAAGUCGAACGGAAAGGCCCUGCUUUUGUGGGGUGCUCGAGUGGCGAACGGGUGAGUAACACGUGAGUAACCUGCCCUUGACUUUGGGAUAACUUCAGGAAACUGGGGCUAAUACCGGAUAGGAGCUCCUGCUGCAUGGUGGGGGUUGGAAAGUUUCGGCGGUUGGGGAUGGACUCGCGGCUUAUCAGCUUGUUGGUGGGUAGUGGCUUACCAAGGCUUUGAAGGGUAGCCGGCCUGGGAGGGUGACCGGCCACAUUGGGACUGAGAUACGGCCCAGACUCCUACGGGAGGCAGCAGUGGGGAAUAUUGCACAAUGGGCGGAAGCCUGAUGCAGCAACGCCGCGUGCGGGAUGACGGCCUUCGGGUUGUAAACCGCUUUCGCCUGUGACGAAGCGUGAGUGACGGUAAUGGGUAAAGAAGCACCGGCUAACUACGUG